This is an RNA transcript of Nematostella vectensis (starlet sea anemone), 676 nucleotides long. RefSeq lists it as uncharacterized. Lineage: Eukaryota; Metazoa; Cnidaria; Anthozoa; Actiniaria; Edwardsiidae. The transcript has 5 exons. The record is from RefSeq and is a predicted model, not a curated record.
CGCACCCCCCCCCCCAAGACAUUUUUGGCCGAUAACACCAAUUUUCCUAUCAUAAGAGGCCGUUAGGACAACAACAAGUCCAUUAUGAACAAUGCAAUAUCACUUUGCUUGACAAGCUAAGCUUGAUCCUGGAAAGAGAGGAGCUCCCAAAAAGAGAUGCCAUAGCUGCAAUGGCAGCAAUGCCCUUGCACGAAGAGUUUGUACAACGUGCAAGGCCACUUUCCCUCCCCCCAAAAAGAAGGAAAUGAGGGGGGAUGGGAAUAUCACCCACCAAAGGAGACAUCUUUUUGAUAGGGCAGAUGUCCUUCAAAAGGAGCACGGCGUGGAUGUGGUCGUCCUUAUGUUUGGACGGCACGGCAAAGGGACGACCACAUCCUGCUACGGCACAAGAGGAAGUGGCGUGAAGUUUAUCGGGGACCAGCAGGAGGCCAAACCUGACGAGGAUGGCCAACUUGCCUUCCGCUUGUUUGAUAGAUUCAUGAGAGCCCAAAGAAAACACCCGCGGCAACAACACCACCCACGGGGGCACCCGCGGCGACAACACCACCCACGGCAGCACCCGCGGCGACAACACCACCCACGGGGGCACCCGCGGCGACAACACCACCCAAGGCGGCGUCAACAUGAACAUAGCAUGCUCCAUGUACAAAACAAAAUAAAUCAGUUUAUAUUUCAA